Molecule: long non-coding RNA, 1273 nt
Organism: Triticum aestivum (bread wheat)
Lineage: Eukaryota; Viridiplantae; Streptophyta; Magnoliopsida; Poales; Poaceae
Exons: 7
Source: RefSeq, a predicted model, not a curated record
CCAAGUCCCAACCCCAGCCAGGCCCAACCCAAACUGAACUCUUCUCCCCCCGACCCAAACCCCAGCCCCGCCGCCGGCCAACUCCAGUCCCUUCGCCGCCGCCGCCGCCGCCGCGUAGACGCGAGGACGCACACGCAUCCGCUACCACCGCGGCCAUGGUCCUCUCCCACCGCCGCUUCCUCCUUCCACCCCGGCCUCUUUGCCAUCGGCGCCGUCGCACCACUGCCGGCCCCUGCUCGAGCUGGUCAGGCGGCGUGCAGAUCCGCCACUGCCACAGCGUCGUCGUCCUCCACAACCACGCAGCGGCUCCUCGCCCGCGACCCUCUUCUCCAGUUUGGGGGCAAGGAAGGAGAAGCCUUUCUCGCUCGAUCUGGCGAGGAUGGAUGCGCAGCAAGGUGCACCACCGUGAUGAUGGGGAUUCAUUCUUGCUGCCACGAUUCGUCUCGUCGUCCUCCCCGGCAUUCGCAUAGGUCAGGCUCGUGGGGACGGUGAGUGGCAAGGCGGGGAGGAACACGGAUAUGUCACUUCAUCAGAUGGCAGGUAGGAGGUACAACGGCCAGCGACCGGGACGACACCAACAGCCAAAGGAAGCUUGAGGUCUGCUCCUUCUCCACCAGUAGAGAGGAGCCUCCUUUUUGGGUUCCGCGUGUCUGCUCCGAGCCUACCAGCGCCGAUGCCAUGGAAGAUUUACUCAGGCACGCGAAGCGUAAUGAGGAGCAGCUGCUGGGCGUGAUGUUGAUCGAUCCUAGCCUGUCUUCCGGCUCUCAGUGAUUUGCUCCUCGAGGUGUAUGCCGUGCUGCACCUGAAUCCUGUUGACUACGAGCAGCGGAACGCCUUGUUUGAUGUAUUCAGCAACAUGGCAACUAAAAUCUUUGGCCUAUGAAAAACGGCCUUUCAGUAUCCAUCGUACGACGGAGAUGUUGAAGAAGAGGCCGAUGAGGUGGUUCCUGACGGAUUUGAAGAGGUGGAGUGUUGCAUUUGAAGAGGUGGAGUGUUAUGCAACGGCCCAACCCAGGGAGGAGGCCCAAGGCCUCUCGUCGCUCCCGCCCGCUGGAGCCUGGAGGACUGGAGAGAGACAGAGGAGUGCCACGGCAGCUGAAGAUAAAAGGAAGGAAGUGGAGACAGAGAGGGUCGUCGACUAGCAGAAGGAAACACCUUCCCCCCUUUCAUUCUCCUCCCCUAUCGUGUACCCAGAUUCCUCCUCCCUUCCUCCUUCUGUAAUCGAAUUGGUCUAACCAGGUGCAUAACAAUUGGUAUCAGGAGUCGUUCGAUC